This 620-nucleotide ribosomal RNA is filed under the name uncultured Actinobacteridae bacterium. RNAcentral describes it as "bacterial SSU rRNA". It matches the Rfam family "Bacterial small subunit ribosomal RNA", at positions 252 to 866 of the family's 1533-position model. Lineage: Bacteria; Bacillati; Actinomycetota; Actinomycetes. The record is from RNAcentral.
GUGGGGUAAAGGCCUACCAAGGCGAUGACGGGUAGCGGGUCUGAGAGGAUUAUCCGUCACACUGGGACUGAGACACUGCCCAGACUCCUACGGGAGGCUGCAGUCGAGAAUCUUCCACAAUGGGCGAAAGCCUGAUGGAGCGACGCUGCGUGCAGGAUGAAGGCCUUAGGGUUGUAAACUGCUGUCACGCUAUAGGAAACCGUUGGGGUUAAUAGCCUCAGCGCUGACCAAAGCGAGAGGAAGUGCCGGCUAACUCCGUGCCAGCAGCCGCGGUAAGACGGAGGGCGCAAGCGUUGUUCGGAUCACUGGGCAUAAAGAGCACGUAGGCUGUUAGUUAAGUCGGAUGUGAAAGCCCUCGGCUCAACCGGGGAACUGCAUUCGAUACUGGCUGACUCGAGGACAGGAGGGGUGAGCGGAACUCCAGGUGGAACGGUGAAAUGUGUAGAUAUCUGGAGGAACACCGGUGGCGAAAGCGGCUCACUGGCCUGUCUCUGACGCUGAGGUGCGAAAGCUAGGGGAGCGAACGGGAUUAGAUACCCCGGUAGCCCUAGCCGUAAACGAUGGGCACUAGGCAGCGGACCUUCCUAUGGGGUUCUCUGCCGUAGCUAAUGUGUUAAGUG